Molecule: transfer RNA, 65 nt
Filed under: Limosilactobacillus reuteri
Lineage: Bacteria; Bacillati; Bacillota; Bacilli; Lactobacillales; Lactobacillaceae
Description: tRNA-Ser
Rfam family: tRNA
About the family: Transfer RNA (tRNA) molecules are approximately 80 nucleotides in length.
Source: RNAcentral
GGGUCGGUAGUUCAGUUUGGUAGAACAAGUGCACAAUGUCGUGGGUUCGAAUCCCACCCGUCCCA